UUCAAGCCAAGAGAAGAAAUAAAUUCAGAGUUGUCAAGUUGCUUCUGGGAGUUUUGUAUUUUCUGAUUCUGGCUGGACGCAUAGCAUGCUGUAAGGAUUUCAUUUUUACCUCUUUAUGCUUAAAACUUACAAUUUAUUUGCUAUUUUUUCAUUAACACUCAAUUACAUAUGUAUUGUGGUUUAUUUUUUUUUGUUGUUUUUGUAAAGUCCGUUUUAUUUGAGAUACAAAAGGAAAAAAAACUAAUAGUAACGCUCCUCCUACCAUGACUGCAAUGUCUAUCAACAGUCAGGAAACAACUUUUUUAUCUUGAUUCAUAUCAAAGUAAUUCUGUUUCAGAUCUCAGUGUGUCUAUGGAAAACAGCAGUAUGAAAAAUACUUUGAAUCAGUUGCAGACUGAACUUUCAGUCAUGAGAGCCAACAACACGAAUCUUCAAGAAGAAACAAAGGAGCUGAAAAAUGAAACUGAAGUCACGAGGGCCAACAACACGAAUCUUCAGGAAGAAACAAAGGAGCUGAAAAAGGAAA
Long non-coding RNA from Oryzias melastigma (Indian medaka), 526 nucleotides. RefSeq lists it as uncharacterized. The record is from RefSeq and is a predicted model, not a curated record. The transcript has 3 exons. Lineage: Eukaryota; Metazoa; Chordata; Actinopteri; Beloniformes; Adrianichthyidae.